ACCUGCUGAGUUGUUCCAGCAUUUUCUGUUUUUCGUAACGGAUAAAACAGGGUGCAGACUCGUAAUGAGAAGUGUCAACACGCUUAAAUGUGUUAAGUCCCUGGUCAAAAAAAAAAACAGGAAGAGGAACGUCACGUGAUUGGAUUAAGAGUUAUUACAGGAGAAUGUGUUAAUGACAGGAGAGAGCACUGGCUCUUGUUGGAGUGCUGGUCUCCCAGUGAUAGCCAUUCUCAAGUGCAAGUGCCCCAACCAGACACACUACACUAGAAAACGACUAGCGUCAGGCAACCAGACCCCAGGCAUCUCACAACUGAGCCUCAUCCCACCAUCGCAUGCUACCCGUGUUCCAGCAAGAGUCACAGAAUAGGUGGUCAGAAGCACCUUUAAUUCCCUUCCCUAGAUCAGGGAUCGAGAAUACUGCAGCCAUUGUAGGACAGAUGAAGCAGGCUUAAGGAUCAAGUGUGAUUCCAAUCGCUCUUUUAAUCGCAGCUGUACUUUCUAUUGGGCCUGGGCCCUAAUCUCUGGAACUUCCUUCCUAAACCUCCCCACACCUCUUGCUCUUUACCUCUCUCUCCUCCUUUAAAACACUCCUUAAAACCUUCCUCAGCUGUCCUAAUAGCACCUUUUGUGGCUCAGUGUCAAUGUUUCUCUAAUUCUGCUCCUGUGAAGCACUUAGGGGAAUUGGACUACAUUAAAGGUUUUGUGCAAA
Carcharodon carcharias (great white shark) is the source of this 709-nucleotide long non-coding RNA. RefSeq lists it as uncharacterized. Lineage: Eukaryota; Metazoa; Chordata; Chondrichthyes; Lamniformes; Lamnidae. The record is from RefSeq and is a predicted model, not a curated record. The transcript is spliced from 3 exons.